Molecule: non-coding RNA, 69 nt
Organism: Podarcis lilfordi (Lilford's wall lizard)
Lineage: Eukaryota; Metazoa; Chordata; Lepidosauria; Squamata; Lacertidae
Source: the annotation of a GenBank genome assembly
GAGUAGCUCAGUUGGUAGAGCAUCAGACUCUUAAUCUCAGGGUUGUAGGUUUGAGCCCCACGUUGGCCG